Molecule: ribosomal RNA, 468 nt
Filed under: uncultured bacterium
Lineage: Bacteria
Description: partial 16S ribosomal RNA
Rfam family: Bacterial small subunit ribosomal RNA
Source: RNAcentral
GACGAACGCUGGCGGCGUGCUUAACACAUGCAAGUCGAACGGAAAGGCCCUGAUUUUGUGGGGUGCUCGAGUGGCGAACGGGUGAGUAACACGUGAGUAACCUGCCCUUGACUUUGGGAUAACUUCAGGAAACUGGGGCUAAUACAGGAUAGGAGCUCAUGCUGCAUGGUGGGGGUUGGAAAGUUUCGGCGGUUGGGGAUGGACUCGCGGCUUAUCAGCUUGUUGGUGGGGUAGUGGCUUACCAAGGCUUUGACGGGUAGCCGGCCUGAGAGGGUGACCGGCCACCUUAGGACUGAGAUACGCCCCAGACUCCUACGGGAGGCAGCAGUGGCGAGUAUUGCACAAUGAGCGCAAGCCUGAUACAGCAACGCCGCGUGCGGGAUGACGGCCUUCGGGUUGUAAACCGCUUUCGCCUAUGACGAAGCGUGAGUGACGGUAAUGAGUAAAGAAGCACCGGCUAACUACGUG